GAUGGCGACCGGCGCACGGGUGAGUAACACGUAUCCAACCUGCCGAUGACUCGGGGAUAGCCUUUCGAAAGAAAGAUUAAUACCCGAUGGCAUAGUUCUUCCGCAUGGUAGAACUAUUAAAGAAUUUCGGUCAUCGAUGGGGAUGCGUUCCAUUAGUUUGUUGGCGGGGUAACGGCCCACCAAGACUACGAUGGAUAGGGGUUCUGAGAGGAAGGUCCCCCACAUUGGAACUGAGACACGGUCCAAACUCCUACGGGAGGCAGCAUG
RNAcentral lists this ribosomal RNA (267 nucleotides) under uncultured bacterium. RNAcentral describes it as "partial 16S ribosomal RNA". It matches the Rfam family "Bacterial small subunit ribosomal RNA", at positions 87 to 353 of the family's 1533-position model. The record is from RNAcentral.